This 1567-nucleotide long non-coding RNA is filed under the name Helianthus annuus (common sunflower). Its description in RNAcentral is "hypothetical non coding rna". Lineage: Eukaryota; Viridiplantae; Streptophyta; Magnoliopsida; Asterales; Asteraceae. The record is from RNAcentral.
UCACUUUUUUUUGGGUCGUUCCCUCUGUGCGCGCGGCUGCCCACCAACGCCGACCGCCACCUACCAAGAUUACCCACCCCAAUGAUGAACCACCAUCACCGGCUCUCUCCACCAUGGUAUAUCUCUCUCUCCAUCACCACUGAAUUUUCCCCCAAAGCCCUCUCUCUUUCGCUGAUUACUUGCCUGAUCUCACUGUAAGUUUAUAUGAAUCUGUGAUUUAUGUCUUAUUUGAAUUGAUUUAAUGAUUUGUUUGUCUUAUAUAUGAGAAAAAAAUUGUUGUUGUUGCUUUGAAUUUUGGCUCAGUUAAGGGUUUCGUAUUCUGUGUAUUGUGGGACUUUGGAUCUAUUGUAUAAUAAUGUUAAUUAAUGUGAUGAAUUUGAUUAAGCUAUUGUAUAAUAAUGUUAAUUAAUGUAUGCAACUAUAAAAGGGCCCAGUUAGCCUUAAAACUGAUUACUUCUUUUGUGCACAAGAUUAAGCUAAUUGUAGACUUUAAAGUAACAUAUAUGAUGAAUUAAAAGAGUUCGAAAAUAUUAUAGUUUUGGUUUUCUAGUAAGGAUGUUGUGUCUAAGCAUGUCACUGGUUAAACUUGCACAGAUUGAUGACAACUGAUAGAUCGAUUAUUAUAAAAAAUUAAGAAUACAACUAUGUCUUUGGUACCAUAUAUGUAAUUGGGUUAUAUGCGAAUAAAUAGGAAUGAGAUAUAUUUUAGAUAAUUGGGCCGACCUCACCUAAUACUUUUAACAACGACACACACGACGUGUAAGUCGUAAGUCCUUUUAACAACAAAAGCCUUUUCCUAAAUCAACCUGACCCAACCCGAAACCCGCUCCAACCCGAACAUGUUCUGACCCGAACCCAUUCCGACCCGAACCCGUUUUAACCCAAACCAAAACAACCCUUUUUUAGAAUACUAAUAAUUUACUUUUAUAAAUUCUAACUUUUUAACUGUGUUAAAACAAUUGAACUAUGUUAAAACAGACACCUGGAAUUCGGGUCGGGUCGGGUCAUGGGUCAAAUGUAUUAGUUCGGGUCAUGGUUUUAAAAACGGUUGAUGCGCGCCUCAGGGGGUCAAAAAUGCCCCCUAUUAAAACAUAAUCAAUUUGGGACUUGUAUUUACUUCGGUAUGAUCAAAAAAAAGUUAAGAGCUAGUAACUAGACUUUUAAGGUCAAAUGGACUUGUAUACAAUUUCACACUUAUUUUAAUGUUUUAGAUUUCUUUCAAACGGAUCAUGGUUUGACUUUGAAGGUCAAAUAUAUUAGCAUCAAGAAUUUGUAGUGCUUCAUUUAGAUUUGGAUAUGCUGUUUAAAAUGCAGACUUUUGUAAUAAGUUUUUAUCCAGCGAUUUUAGAUCUUAUUUAUAUAUGUUGGAGUGAAUUUGCUUUCAUCUUUUCAUUUAGGUUGCUUAUAUUAUAUUUGAUUGAUAGAUGUUAAAGAAGAAAUGGUUCAUAUUCAGUUAUGAUUACCAACAAUCCGAACUGUAGUGACAGUCAUGAAUAUAAUCUAUAUGUUGCGAGUCUGAUGCACACUCUAUUUGAUAUCCAGACUUCUUUCUAUAUAAUACACAAUU